CCUACGGGAGGCAGCAGUGAGGAAUAUUGGUCAAUGGACGAGAGUCUGAACCAGCCAAGUAGCGUGAAGGAUGACUGCCCUAUGGGUUGUAAACUUCUUUUAUAAAGGAAUAAAACGAGGCACGUGUGCCUUUUUGCAUGUACUUUAUGAAUAAGGAUCGGCUAACUCCGUUCCAGCAGCCGCGGUAAUACGGAGGAUCCGAGCGUUAUCCGGAUUUUUUGGGUUUAAAGGGCUCGUAGAUGGGUUGUUAAGUCAGUUGUGAAAGUUUUCGGAUCAACCGUAAAAUUGCAAUUGAUACUGGCAGUCUUGAGUACAGUUGAGGUAGGCGGAAUUCGUGGUGUAGCGGUGAAAUGCUUAGAUAUCACGAAGAACUCCGAUUGAGAAGGCAGCUUACUAAACUGUGACUGACAUUGAUGCUCGAAAGUGUGGGUAUCAAACAGGAUUAGAUACCCCAGUAGUC
RNAcentral lists this ribosomal RNA (460 nucleotides) under uncultured bacterium. RNAcentral describes it as "partial 16S ribosomal RNA". It matches the Rfam family "Bacterial small subunit ribosomal RNA", at positions 338 to 795 of the family's 1533-position model. The record is from RNAcentral.